This is a long non-coding RNA of Paramisgurnus dabryanus, 752 nucleotides long. RefSeq lists it as uncharacterized. NCBI's taxonomy places the organism in Eukaryota, Metazoa, Chordata, Actinopteri, Cypriniformes, Cobitidae. The record is from RefSeq and is a predicted model, not a curated record.
GAUGUAUUGCAAAAUAGCCAACAUACAACAAUAUGGAUGACCCUAUAUCUGGUCAACAGGAGUUUAAAUAUGGACGGGACAGUGAUGUGGCAGCUCUUCCCUGGCUCAUUCACCUCUUGCCUUUCAUUUGUGAAAGGAAGAAAGACUGGAGAGGGUCAAUGUGCAACUGAAGCUACUGAUUGUGCUAUGUGAUUAGCAUCAAUCCAUGCUUUGAGGGGAAUGAAUCAGCACAGCCCUGCCUGCACUGCGUUGGGAACAGAAGUUGCAUCCAGAAUUUUUGCAUCAUUCUGGACCAAAAAGCCAUUCCCUCCAUGAUGAAGACCACUGAUGCAGCCUUCCACUACAUCAUGAGUAAAACAACUACAGAACUAAAUACCAGGUUGGAACGUAUUUAAGAAAAAUGAAACGUCUUUUGAAUUGAAAUGUCUGUUUUGUUAUGGAUAAAUCUUUAGUAUUGUGAAGGAUAAGCAUUUCUGCCUGCCAGUAAGGUAAUUGCAGUGUAUUUUAAUGUUCAAGUUUUGAGUAGGGUGGCUAAUUUUUUUAAAACUCUCAUUUGAUUUAUUAAAGACCUUAUAAUAAGUGGUUUUCAUGUCACUGCGCUGUGGUAUAAGAUAACUUUCAUUAUUCCAUACUGUAUUCUGUUUCUAAUUGUAGCUGAGGUAUUUAAAUAAGCAGUAUUAAAUGCAAAGUGUUGUGUGUAUCAAUGUAAAUAUUAAAUGUGAUGUACUUUAAUAAAAAGAGGUUUUGCAAUA